Molecule: unclassified non-coding RNA, 243 nt
Filed under: fungal sp.
Lineage: Eukaryota; Fungi
Description: partial internal transcribed spacer region
Rfam family: Eukaryotic small subunit ribosomal RNA (bases 1-46)
Source: RNAcentral
AAGUCGUAACAAGGUUUCCGUAGGUGAACCUGCGGAAGGAUCAUUACCAAGUUUAAUCCAAAAACACUCAACCCAUGUGCACGAUGAUUUGUCUGUCUUUGGGGUGGAAGAAUCUAGGGUUAAUUUACAUUAGCCCUAGCUGAUUUCACCCCACAUGUGUAAACAUCCCAUUUUAUUUGUAUUGGCAUCUACUUGUCUUAAUAAAUAAUAGACAACUUUUAACGGUGGAUCUCUUGGCUCGUG